RNAcentral lists this ribosomal RNA (207 nucleotides) under uncultured bacterium. RNAcentral describes it as "partial 16S ribosomal RNA". It matches the Rfam family "Bacterial small subunit ribosomal RNA", at positions 568 to 774 of the family's 1533-position model. The record is from RNAcentral.
CGCGUAGGCGGUAUGGUAAGUCAAAGGUGGAAGGCAUGGGCUCAACCCAUGGACAGCCUUUGAAACUGCUGUACUUGAGUCGUGCAGGGGAUGGCGGAAUUCCAGGUGUAGCGGUGAAAUGCGUAGAUAUCUGGAGGAAGGCCGGUGGCGAAGGCGGCCAUCUGGGCACGAACUGACGCUGAGGCGCGAAAGCGUGGGGAGCAAACA